UACGGAGGGUGCAAGCGUUAUCCGGAAUCACUGGGCGUAAAGGGCGCGUAGGCGGUCUGUUGAGUUUGGCGUUAGAGCCUGGGGCUCAACCCCAGAUCAGCGUUGGAUACUGGCAGGCUAGACGGCUGGAGAGGCGAGUGGAAUUACCAGUGUAGCGGUGGAAUGCGUAGAUACUGGUAGGAACACCCAUUGCGAAGGCAGCUCGCUGGACAGCACGUGACGCUGAGGCGCGAAAGUGUGGGGAGCAAACCGGAUUAGA
This 259-nucleotide ribosomal RNA is filed under the name uncultured prokaryote. Its description in RNAcentral is "partial 16S ribosomal RNA". It matches the Rfam family "Bacterial small subunit ribosomal RNA", at positions 524 to 782 of the family's 1533-position model. The record is from RNAcentral.